Long non-coding RNA from Ctenocephalides felis (cat flea), 310 nucleotides. RefSeq lists it as uncharacterized. The transcript is spliced from 4 exons. NCBI's taxonomy places the organism in Eukaryota, Metazoa, Arthropoda, Insecta, Siphonaptera, Pulicidae. The record is from RefSeq and is a predicted model, not a curated record.
GUUCAUUUCCAUCGUGGCGAUUGCUGGAGGAAGACAUCGAGACGUCGUCGAACACUGACGAGCGGGCCUGACCCUUCGCUGCCUGUGGAGUACGUGCGACCUGCGAGCGUCACCUGGUGCGGAUGAAAUCACAUGGAGGCCACAAGAUAUCAUAUCAAGCAAAUUGUUGAUAAUCGAAUGGCCAAGCAUCGAGUGAAAAUUGAACACUGACCCCUUCACCAGGAAUCGCUCUGAAAAUAAUUUAAAAAGUACUUUCAACCACUGCUGCUCUGCACACUGACCCCUUCACCAGGAAUCGCUCUGAAAAUAA